This 1485-nucleotide ribosomal RNA is filed under the name metagenome. RNAcentral describes it as "bacterial SSU rRNA". It matches the Rfam family "Bacterial small subunit ribosomal RNA". The record is from RNAcentral.
AGAGUUUGAUCAUGGCUCAGGAUGAACGCUGGCGGCGUGCUUAACACAUGCAAGUCGAACGAAGCACUCUAUUUGAUUUUCUUCGGAAAUGAAGAUUUUGUGACUGAGUGGCGGACGGGUGAGUAACGCGUGGGUAACCUGCCUCAUACAGGGGGAUAACAGUUGGAAACGACUGCUAAUACCGCAUAAGCGCACAGGAUCGCAUGAUCCGGUGUGAAAAACUCCGGUGGUAUGAGAUGGACCCGCGUCUGAUUAGCCAGUUGGCAGGGUAACGGCCUACCAAAGCGACGAUCAGUAGCCGACCUGAGAGGGUGACCGGCCACAUUGGGACUGAGACACGGCCCAAACUCCUACGGGAGGCAGCAGUGGGGAAUAUUGCACAAUGGGGGAAACCCUGAUGCAGCGACGCCGCGUGAGCGAAGAAGUAUUUCGGUAUGUAAAGCUCUAUCAGCAGGGAAGAAGAAUGACGGUACCUGACUAAGAAGCACCGGCUAAAUACGUGCCAGCAGCCGCGGUAAUACGUAUGGUGCAAGCGUUAUCCGGAUUUACUGGGUGUAAAGGGAGCGCAGGCGGUGCGGCAAGUCUGAUGUGAAAGCCCGGGGCUCAACCCCGGUACUGCAUUGGAAACUGUCGUACUAGAGUGUCGGAGGGGUAAGUGGAAUUCCUAGUGUAGCGGUGAAAUGCGUAGAUAUUAGGAGGAACACCAGUGGCGAAGGCGGCUUACUAGGCUUUUACUGACGCUGAGGCUCGAAAGCGUGGGGAGCAAACAGGAUUAGAUACCCUGGUAGUCCACGCUGUAAACGAUGAUUACUAGGUGUGGGGGGAUUGACCCCUUCCGCGCCGCAGUUAACACAAUAAGUAAUCCACCUGGGGAGUACGACCGCAAGGUUGAAACUCAAAGGAAUUGACGGGGGCCCGCACAAGCAGUGGAGUAUGUGGUUUAAUUCGAAGCAACGCGAAGAACCUUACCAGGUCUUGACAUCGAGUGACGUAUCCAGAGAUGGAUAUUUCCUUCGGGACACAAAGACAGGUGGUGCAUGGUUGUCGUCAGCUCGUGUCGUGAGAUGUUGGGUUAAGUCCCGCAACGAGCGCAACCCUUAUCAUUAGUUGCUACGCAAGAGCACUCUAAUGAGACUGCCGUUGACAAAACGGAGGAAGGUGGGGAUGACGUCAAAUCAUCAUGCCCCUUAUGACCUGGGCUACACACGUACUACAAUGGCGAUCGAACAGAGGGAAGCAAGACAGCGAUGUGGAGCCAAUCCCAAAAAAUCGCCCCAGUUCAGAUUGCAGGCUGCAACUCGCCUGCAUGAAGUCGGAAUUGCUAGUAAUCGCAGAUCAGCAUGCUGCGGUGAAUACGUUCCCGGGCCUUGUACACACCGCCCGUCACACCAUGGGAGUCGGUAACACCCAAAGCCGGUCGUCUAACCUUCGGGAGGACGCCGUCUAAGGUGGGAUUGAUGACUGGGGUGAAGUCGUAACAAGGUA